CCGAGUUCUCGAGCUUCGGCUCGACUCUCUCCCACCCUUUGUGAACGUACCUCUGUUGCUUUGGCGGCUCCCGGGGCCUCGCGCCCCGCGUCCGCCAGAGGAUCCUUUAAAACUCCAGUCAGUAAACGUCGGCGUCUGAUAAACAAGUUAAUGAAUUA
RNAcentral lists this unclassified non-coding RNA (158 nucleotides) under uncultured Phaeobotryosphaeria. RNAcentral describes it as "sequence contains ITS1". Lineage: Eukaryota; Fungi; Ascomycota; Dothideomycetes; Botryosphaeriales; Botryosphaeriaceae. The record is from RNAcentral.